Molecule: long non-coding RNA, 121 nt
Organism: Maniola jurtina (meadow brown)
Lineage: Eukaryota; Metazoa; Arthropoda; Insecta; Lepidoptera; Nymphalidae
Exons: 3
Source: RefSeq, a predicted model, not a curated record
CUUUUUGUAGCUUUACGGAGAAAUUACGACGGUCUCCACUCUCGGAGAAUGGAGGCUUGUUUAUCUACCUACGAUGUUUGGCUUUCGGUUCUUACGUAAUAAUAAAAUCGUUUAAAAAGAU